This 460-nucleotide ribosomal RNA is filed under the name uncultured bacterium. RNAcentral describes it as "partial 16S ribosomal RNA". It matches the Rfam family "Bacterial small subunit ribosomal RNA", at positions 338 to 795 of the family's 1533-position model. The record is from RNAcentral.
CCUACGGGUGGCAGCAGUGAGGAAUAUUGGUCAAUGGGCGCGAGCCUGAACCAGCCAAGUCGCGUGAGGGAGGACGGCCCUACGGGUUGUAAACCUCUUUUGCCGGGGAGCAACGGGCGUCACGUGUGGCGCCACUGAGAGUACCCGGAGAAAAAGCAUCGGCAAAUCCCGGACCAGCAGCCGCGGUAAUACGGGGGAUGCGAGCGUUAUCCGGAUUUAUGGGGUUAAAGGGGUGCGUAGGCGGAUCGUUAGGUCAGUGGUCAAAUUGAGGGGCCCAACCCCUUCCCGCCACUGAAACUGGCGCUCUUGAGUGGAAGAGAAGUAUGCGGAAUGCGUGGUGUAGCGGUGAAAUGCAUAGAUAUCACGCAGAACCCCGAUUGCGAAGGCAGCAUGCCGGCUUCCGACUGACGCUGAAGCACGAAAGCGUGGGGAUCGAACAGGAUUAGAUACCCUGGUAGUC